RNAcentral lists this unclassified non-coding RNA (21 nucleotides) under Chlamydomonas reinhardtii. RNAcentral's name for it is "small RNA Cre_3535". The record is from RNAcentral. Lineage: Eukaryota; Viridiplantae; Chlorophyta; Chlorophyceae; Chlamydomonadales; Chlamydomonadaceae.
UGUCCUUUAAAUCCGUGCUGG